This 23-nucleotide small nuclear RNA is filed under the name Arabidopsis thaliana (thale cress). Its description in RNAcentral is "snRNA_02048". The record is from RNAcentral. Lineage: Eukaryota; Viridiplantae; Streptophyta; Magnoliopsida; Brassicales; Brassicaceae.
AAGACAGCAGGACGGUGGUCAUG